UACGGGAGGCAGCAGUGGGGAAUAUUGCACAAUGGGCGAAACCCUGAUGCAGCGACGCCGCGUGAGUGAAGAAGUAUUUCGGUAUGUAAAGCUCUAUCAGCAGGGAAGAAAAUGACGGUACCUGACUAAGAAGCUCCGGCUAAAUACGUGCCAGCAGCCGCGGUAAU
This 167-nucleotide ribosomal RNA is filed under the name uncultured rumen bacterium. Its description in RNAcentral is "partial 16S ribosomal RNA". It matches the Rfam family "Bacterial small subunit ribosomal RNA", at positions 340 to 524 of the family's 1533-position model. The record is from RNAcentral.